This is a non-coding RNA of Schizosaccharomyces pombe (fission yeast), 424 nucleotides long. The record is from the annotation of a GenBank genome assembly. NCBI's taxonomy places the organism in Eukaryota, Fungi, Ascomycota, Schizosaccharomycetes, Schizosaccharomycetales, Schizosaccharomycetaceae.
CUAUUUCAAAGCAGUCACGAUUUUCGAUAUAUAAAAGAGAUAGUACCUACAAUAACAGUUCUUUAACAAUGUCAUUUGCAACCCACCGAGUCACGGACUUGGUCUUUACCAUACCGAGGAUGCAGCUGUCAAACUGCCCGUGCUAUGGGGUGCAAAGAAUAUGCGCCUGAACUCUUACGACCUGUAGCAGUACUUUAUUAUGUCGUACAGGAUGAGAGGACGGCCUACAUAGCUUUCCUUUUCAGUUAUCCUGAAUCAAUUGAAAAUCAACUUUUAGUUAUAGUUAAAAUGAGUAGGUUGAAUUUUUUUAUAGAAAAGAGUAGUUAAUAAAAGAAAAUGACGAUAAUGGAUCCAGAUGGUACAAUUUUUUAUUAUUCUUUUGUUUACGGAUGACAGUAAAAGGAAUGUAAUUUUGGUUGUUUUA